RNAcentral lists this ribosomal RNA (254 nucleotides) under uncultured Anaerococcus sp. Its description in RNAcentral is "partial 16S ribosomal RNA". It matches the Rfam family "Bacterial small subunit ribosomal RNA", at positions 102 to 354 of the family's 1533-position model. Lineage: Bacteria; Bacillati; Bacillota; Tissierellia; Tissierellales; Peptoniphilaceae. The record is from RNAcentral.
ACGGGUGAGUAACGCGUGAGUAACCUGCCUUACACAAGGGGAUAGCCGUUGGAAACGACGAAUAAUACCCUAUGACAUAAACUCUUCGCAUGAGGAGCUUAUCAAAGAUUUAUCGGUGUAAGAUGGACUCGCGUCUGAUUAGCUAGUUGGUGAGGUGACGGCCCACCAAGGCGACGAUCAGUAGCCGGCUUGAGAGAGUGAACGGCCACAUUGGAACUGAGAAACGGUCCAAACUCCUACGGGAGGCAGCAGGG